UCCUUUGUUUUCGAGUCGCGUUUGGUUGGUUCAAGGGCAAAUUUUGUACAAGAUGUCAUAUAUGGGUACCUACUUGGAAAAAUUCUGUCAAUGACAUUUUUUAAGCAUAGACUGGGUAGCAAAAAGUUAUGUUGGAUGAGCCACUAAAGAUGUAGUUAUCGAGGAGUUUUUGCGUGUCCUUUGUUUUCGAGUCGCGUUUGGUCGGUUUUAGGGCAAAUUCUGUACAACAUGUCAUAUAUGGCUACCUAAAUUUGGAAAAAUUCUGUGAAUGACAUUUUUUAAGCAUGGAUUGGGUAGCAAAAAGUUAUUUUGGAAGAGCCACGAAAGAGGUAGUUAUCGAGUUACGUUAGGUCGAUUUUAGGGCAAAUUCUGUACAAGAUGUCAUAUAUGGGUACCUAACUUGGAAAAAUUCUAUGACCGGCUUUUUAAGCAUGGAUUGGGUAGCCAAAAGUUAUUUUGGACGAGCCAUGAAAGAGAUAGUCAUGAAAGAGUUUUUGCGUAUCCUUUGUUUAGAUUCGCGUUUGGUCGGUUUUAGGGCAAAUUUUGUACAACAUGUCAUAUAUGGGUACCUAACUUGGAAACAUUCGGUGAACGACAUUUUAUAAGGAUGGAUUGGGUUGCAAAAAUUUAUGUUGGACGAGCCACGAAAGAGGUAGUUCCCAAGGAGUUUUUGCAUGUUCUUUGUUUUUGAGUCGCGUUUGUUCGGUUUUAGGGCAAAUUCUGUACAAGAUGUAAUAUAUGGGUACCUAACUUGGAAAAAUUAUGUGAACGACAUUUUUAAGCAUGAAUUGGGUUAUAAAAAGUUAUGUUGGACGAGCCACGAAAGAGUUAGUUAUCGAGGAGUUUUUCCGUGUCCUUUGUUUUCAAGUCGCGUUUGGUAGGUUUAAGGGCAAAUUAUGUACAAGUUUUCAUAUAUGGGUACCUAACUUGGAAAAAUUAUGUAAACAGUAUUUUUUAAGCAUGGAUUGGGUAGCAAAAAGUUAUUUUGGACAAGCCAUGAAAGUGGUAUUUAUCGAACAGUUUUUGCGUGUCCUUUGUUUUCGAGUCAUGUUUGGUCGGUUUUAGGGCAAAUUCUGGACAAGCUAUCACAUAUGGGUACCUAACUUGGAAAAAUUCUGUGAGCAGCAUUUUUUAAGCAUGUAUUGGGUAGCAAUAAGUUAUUUUGGAUGAGCCAAGAAAGAGGUAGUUAUCGAGUAGUUUUUGCAUGUCAUUUGUUUUCGAGUCGCGUUUGGUCGGUUUUAGGGCAAAUUCUAUACAAGACGUCAUAUAUGGGUACCUAACGUGGAAAAAUUAUGUAAACGACAUUGUUUAAGCAUGGAUUGGGUAGCAAAAAGUUUUUUUGGACGAGCCAUGAAAGAGGUAUUUAUCGAGGAGUUUUUGCGUGUCCUUUGUUUUCGAGUUGCGUUUGGUCGGUUUUAGGGUAAAUUAUGUACAAGAGGUCAUCUAUGGUUACCUAACUUGGAAAAUUUCUAUGAACAGAGUUUUUUAUGAAUGGAUUGGGUAGCUAAAAGUUAUUUUGGACGAGCCAAGAAAGAGGUAGUUAUAGAGGAGGUUUUGCGUGUGCUUUGUUUUCGAGUCGCGUUUGGUUUGUUCAAGGGCAAAUUCUGUACAAGAUGUCAUAUAUGGGUACCUAACUUAGAAAAAUUCUGUGAACGACAUUUUUUAAGCAUGGACUGGGUAGCAAAAAGUUAUGUUGGACGAGCCACUAAAGAGGUAGUUAUCGAGGAGUUUUUGCGUGUCCUUCGUUUUCGAGUCGCGUUUGGUCGGUUUUAGGGCAAAUUCUGUACAAUAUGUCAUAUAUGGGUACCUAACUUUGGAAAAAUUCUGUGAAUGGCCUUUUUGAAGCAUGGAUUGGGUAGCAAAAAGUUAUUUUGGAAGAGCCACGAAAGAGGUAGUUAUCAAGGAGUUUUUGCAUGUCAUUUGUUUUCGAGUCGCGUUUGGUCGGUUUUAGGGCAAAUUCUGUACAACAUGUCAUAUAUGGGUUGGGUUAUAAAAAGUUAUGUUGGACGAGCCACGAAAGAGUUAGUUAUCGCGGAGUUUUUGCGUGUCCUUUGUUUUUGAGUCGCAUUUGGUAGGUUUAAGGGCAAAUUAUGCACAAGAUGUCUUAUAUGGGUACCUAACUUGGAAAAAUUAUGUAAACGGCAUUUUUAAGCAUGGAUUGGGUAGCAAAAAGUUAUUUUGGACGAGCCAUAAAAGAGAUAUUUAUCCAGGAGUUUUUGCGUGUCCUUUGUUUUCGAGUCGCAUUUGGUUGGUUUUAGGGAAAAUUCUGGACAAGCUGUGAUAUAUGGGUACCUAACUUGGAAAAAUUCUGUGACCAGCAUUUUUUAAGCAUGGAUUAUGUAGCAAUAAGUUAUUUUGGAUGAGCCAAGAAAGAGGUAGUUAUCGAGUAGUUUUUCCGUGUCCUUUGUUUUUGAGUCGCGUUUGGUCGGUUUUAGGGCAAAUUCUGUACAAGACGUCAUAUACGGAUACCUAACAUGGAAAAAUUCUGUGAACGAAAUUUUUUAAGCAUGGAUUGGGUAGCAAAAAGUUAUUUUGGACAAGCCACGAAAGAGGUAGUUAUGGAGGAAUUUUUGCGUGUCCUUUGUUUUUGAGUCGCGUUUCGUCGGUUUUAGGGUAAAUUCUGUACAAGAUGUCAUAUAUGGGUACCAAACUUGGAAAUAUUCUGUGGACGACAUUUUUAAGCAUGGAUUGGGUAGCAAAAAGUUAUUUUGGGCAAGCCGCCAAAGAGGUAAUUAUCGAGGAGUUUCUGCGUGUCCUUUCUUUUCGAGUCGUGUUUGGUCGGUUUUAGGGCAAAUUCUAUAACAGAUGUCAUAUAUGGCACCUACCUUGGAAAUUUUCUGCGAACGGCAUUUUUUGAAGCAUGGAUUUGGUAGCAAAAUUUAUUUUGGACAAGCCACAAAAGAGGUAGUUAUCGAGGAGUUUCUGCGUGUCCUUUGUUUUCGAGUCGCCUUUGGUCGGUUUUAGGGCAAAUUCUAUAACAGAUGCCAUAUAUGGUAGCUAACUUGGAAAAUUUCUGUGAACGACAUUUUUUAAGCAUGGAUUGGGCAGCAAAAAGUUAUUUUGGACGUGCCAGGAAAGAGGUAUUUAUCGAGGAGUUUUUGCGUGUCCUUUGUUUUUGAGUCGCGUUUGGUCAGUUUUAGGGUAAAUUCUGUACAAGAUGUCAUGUAUGGUUACUUAACUUGGAAAAUUUCUAUGAACGGAAUUUUUUAAGAAUGGAUUAGGUAGCUAAAGUUAUUUUGGACGAGCCAAGAAAGAGGUAGUUAUGGAGGAGGUUUUGCGUGUCCUUUGUUUUCGAGUCGCGUUUGGUUGGUUCAAUGGCAAAUUCUGUACAAGAUGUCAUAUAUGGGUACCUAACUUGGAAAAAUUAUGUGAACGACAUUUGUUAAGCAUGGAUUGGGUAGCAAAAAGUAAUGUUGGACGAGCCAUUAAAGAGGUAGUUAUCGAGGAGUUUUUGCGUGUCCUUUGUUUUCGAGUGGCGUUUGGUCGGUUUUAGCGCAAAUUCUGUACAACAUGUCAUAUAUGUGUACCUAACUUUGGAAUAAUUCUGUGAAUGGCAUUUUUUAAGCAUGGAUUGGGUAGAAAAAGUUAUUUCGGAAGAGCCACGAAAGAGGUAGUUAUAGAGGAGUUUUUGCAUGUCAUUUGUUUUUGAGUCGCGUUUGGUCGGUUUUAGGAAAAUUAUGUACAACAUGUCAUAUAUGGGUACCGAACUUCGGAAAAAUUUUGUGAAUGGCAUUUUUUAAGCAUGGAUGGGGUAGCAAAAAGUUAUUUUGGAAGAGCCACCAAAGAGGUAGUUAUCGAGGAGUUUUUGCAUGUCAUUUGUUUUCGAGUCGCGUUUGGUCGGUUUUAGGGCAAAUUCUGUACAACAUGUCAUAUAUGGGUUGGGUUAUAAAAAGUUAUGUUGGACGAGGCACGAAAGAGUUAGUUAUCGCGGAGUUUUUGCGUGUCCUUUGUUUUUGACUCGCAUUUGGUAGGUUUAAGGGCAAAUUAUGCACAAGAUGUCAUAUAUGGGUACCUAACUUGGAAAAUAUAUGUAAGCGGCAUUUUUUAAGCAUGGAUUGGGUAGCAAAAAGUUAUUUUGUACGAGCCAUAAAAGAGAUAUUUAUCCAGGAGUUUUUGCUUGUCCUUUGUUUUCGAGUCGCAUUUGGUUGGUUUUAGGGCAAAUUCUGGACAAGCUGUGAUAUAUGGGUACCUAACUUGGAAAAAUUCUGUGACCAGCAUUUUUUAAGCAUGGAUUAGGUAGCAAUAAGUUAUUUUGGAUGAGCCAAGACAGAGGUAGUUAUCGAGUAGUUUUCCGUGUCCUUUGUUUUUGAGUCGCGUUUGGUCGGUUUUAGGGCAAAUUCUGUACAAGACGUCAUAUAUGGAUACCUAACAUGAAAAAAUUCUAUGAACGAAAUUUUUUAAGCAUGGAUUGGGUAGCAAAAAGUUAUUUUGGACAAGCCACGAAAGAGGUAGUUAUGGAGGAAUUUUUGCGUGUCCUUUGUUUUUGAGUCGCGUUUCGUCGGUUUUAGGGUAAAUUCUGUACAAGAUGUCAUAUAUGGGUACCAAACUUGGAAAUAUUCUGUGGACGACAUUUUUAAGCAUGGAUUGGGUAGCAAAAAGUUAUUUUGGGCAAGCCGCCAAAGAGGUAAUUAUCGAGGAGUUUCUGCGUGUCCUUUCUUUCCGAGUCGUGUUUGGUCGGUUUUAGGGCAAAUUCUAUAACAGAUGUCAUAUAUGGUACCUACCUUGGAAAUUUUCUGCGAACGGCAUUUUUUUAAGCAUGGAUUUGGUAACAAAAUUUAUUUUGGACGAGCCACAAAAGAGGUAGUUAUCGAGGAGUUUCUGCGUGUCAUUUGUUUUCGAGUCACGUUUGGUCGGUUUUAGGGCAAAUUCUAUAACAGAUGCCAUAUAUGGUAGCUAACUUGGAAAAUUUCUGUGAACGACAUUUUUUAAGCAUGGAUUGGGCAGCAAAAAGUUAUUUUGGACGUGCCACGAAAGAGGUAUUUAUCGAGGAGUUUUUGCGUGUCCUUUGUUUUCGAGUCGCGUUUGGUCGGUUUUAGGGUAAGUUCUGUACAAGAUGUCAUGUAUGGUUACCUAACUUGGAAAAUUUCUAUGAACGGAAUUUUUUAAGAAUGGAUUGGAUAGCUAAAGUUAUUUUGGACAAGCCAAAAAAGAGGUAGUUAUAGAGGAGGUUUUGCGUGUCCUUUGUUUUCGAGUCGCGUUUGGUCGGUGCAAGGGAAAAUUCUUUACAAGAUGUCAUAUAUGCGUACCUAACUUAGAAAAAUUCUGUGAACAACAUUUGUUAAGCAUGGAUUGGGUAGCAAAAAGUAAUGUUGGUCGAGCCACUAAAGAGGUAGUUAUCGAGGAGUUUUUGCGUGUCCUUUGUUUUCGAGUGGCGUUUGGUCGGUUUUAGCGCAAAUUCUGUACAACAUGUCAUAUAUGUGUACCUAACUUUGGAAUAAUUUUGUGAAUGGCAUUUUUUAAGCAUGGAUUGGGUAGAAAAAAGUUAUUUUUGAAGAGCCACGAAAGAGGUAGUUAUCGAGGACUUUUUGCAUGUCAUUUGUUUUUGAGUCGCGUUUGGUCGAUUUUAGGGAAAAUUCUGUACAAGAUGUCAUAUAUGGGUACCGAACUUGGAAAAAUUCUAUGACCAGCUUUUUAAGCAUGGAUUGGGUAGCCAAAAGUUAUUUUGGACGAGCCACAAAAGAGAUAUUUAUCGAGGAGUUUUUGCGUGUCAGUUGUUGUCGAGUCGCGCUUGGUCGGUUUUAGGGUAAAUUAUGUACAAGAGGUCAUCUAUGGUUACCUACUUGGAAAAUUUCUAUGAACAGAGUUUUUUAUGAAUGGAUUGGGUAGCUAAAAGUUAUUUUGGAUCAGCCAAGGAAGAGGUAGUACUGAGGAGGUUUUGCGUGUCCUUUGUUUUCGAGUCGCGUUUGGUUGGUUCAAGGGCAAAUUUUGUACAAGAUGUCAUAUAUGGGUACCUACUUGGAAUAAUUCUGUCAAUGACAUUUUUUAAGCAUAGACUGGGUAGCAAAAAGUUAUGUUGGAUGAGCCACUAAAGAGGUAGUUAUCGAGGAGUUUUUGCGUGUCCUUUGUUUUCGAGUCGCGUUUGGUCGGUUUUAGGGCAAAUUCUGUACAACAUGUCAUAUAUGGCUACCUAACUUUGGAAAAAUUCUGUGAAUGACAUUUUUUAAGCAUGGAUUGGGUAGCAAAAAGUUAUUUUGGAAGAGCCACGAAAGAGGUAGUUAUCGAGUCACGUUUGGUCGAUUUUAGGGCAAAUUCUGUACAAGAUGUCAUAUAUGGGUACCUAACUUGGAAAAAUUCUAUGACCGGCUUUUUAAGCAUGGAUUGGGUAGCCAAAAGUUAUUUUGGACGAGCCAUGAAAGAGAUAGUUAUGAAGGAGUUUUUGCGUAUCCUUUGUUUAGAGUCGCG
RNAcentral lists this long non-coding RNA (6402 nucleotides) under Triticum aestivum (bread wheat). RNAcentral describes it as "long non-coding RNA (TAES_LNC008272)". The record is from RNAcentral. Lineage: Eukaryota; Viridiplantae; Streptophyta; Magnoliopsida; Poales; Poaceae.